GUGGGGAAUCUUAGACAAUGGGCGCAAGCCUGAUCUAGCCAUGCCGCGUGAGCGAUGAAGGCCUUAGGGUUGUAAAGCUCUUUCGCUGGGGAAGAUAAUGACGGUAUCCGGAGAAGAAGCCCCGGCUAACUUCGUGCCAGCAGCCGCGGUAAUACGAAGGGGGCUAGCGUUGUUCGGAAUUACUGGGCGUAAAGCGCACGUAGGCGGACAUUUAAGUCAGGGGUGAAAUCCCGGGGCUCAACCCCGGAACUGCCUUUGAUACUGGGUGUCUGGAGUAUGGAAGAGGUAAGUGGAAUUCCGAGUGUAGAGGUGAAAUUCGUAGAUAUUCGGAGGAACACCAGUGGCGAAGGCGGCUUACUGGUCCAUUACUGACGCUGAGGUGCGAAAGCGUGGGGAGCAAACAGGAUUAGAUACCCCUGUAGUCC
Molecule: ribosomal RNA, 425 nt
Filed under: uncultured bacterium
Lineage: Bacteria
Description: partial 16S ribosomal RNA
Rfam family: Bacterial small subunit ribosomal RNA
Source: RNAcentral